GGGGGCAGCAAUGUCACCGGCGAACGGGUGCGUAACGCGUAUGCAACCUACCUACAUCAGGGGGAUAGCCCUAGGAAACUGGGAUUAACACCGCAUAAUAUAUGACAAGGCAUCUUGUUAUAUUGAAAUAUUUAUAGGAUGUAGAUGGGCAUGCGUAGGAUUAGCUAGUUGGUAAGGUAACGGCUUACCAAGGCUACGAUCCUUAGGGGCUCUGAGAGGAGUAUCCCCCACACUGGCACUGAGAUACGGGCCAGACUCCUACGGGAGGCAGCAGUAGGGAAUAUUGGGCAAUGGAGGCAACUCUGACCCAGCCAUGCCGCGUGCAGGAAGACGGUCCUCUGGAUUGUAAACUGCUUUUGAAUGGGAAGAAUGUGUGGCUUGCGAGCUAUAAUGACGGUACCAUUAGAAUAAGCCACGGCUAACUACGUGCCAGCAGCCGCGGUAAUACGUAGGUGGCGAGCGUUAUCCGGAUUUAUUGGGUUUAAAGGGUGCGUAGGCGGCUUAAUAAGUCGGUGGUUAAAAGUAGCAGCUUAACUGUUUUACAUGCCAUCGAUACUGUUGAGCUUGAGAUAUUUGGAGGCAGCUAGAAUUUCCGGUGUAGCGGUGAAAUGCAUAGAUACCGGAAGGAAUACCAAUUGCGAAGGCAGGUUGCUACGAAUAAACUGACGCUGAUGCACGAAAGCGUGGGGAUCAAACAGGAUUAGAUACCCUGGUAGUCCACGCCGUAAACGAUGAUUACUAGUUGUUGGGGUUUAAGCCUCAGUGACCAAGGGAAACCGAUAAGUAAUCCACCUGGGGAGUACGCCGGCAACGGUGAAACUCAAAGGAAUUGACG
Molecule: ribosomal RNA, 835 nt
Filed under: uncultured Bacteroidota bacterium
Lineage: Bacteria; Pseudomonadati; Bacteroidota
Description: bacterial SSU rRNA
Rfam family: Bacterial small subunit ribosomal RNA
Source: RNAcentral